ACAACUGAUUAAUCACUGUCAUUCCUUAUAGGGUCCAGCUUUUCUGGUUAGGUUAACAGAUAAGGAAAAACUCUGGGCCCCAUUGGGUAAAAAUUGCCCACCCGCUCUGGGACCUACGGCGCCACCAGUCUGCCUGCAGUUGUCUGUUAUCAUCAGCUAAGUCCUCUCCUGUUCCCUGAUUAAGAGGUGAUGACAACUCCACUACCAUUGUCAACUCUCUCCUGACAUGAACUGAAGCCACGUCUCAUGUGCUCGCUCAUCCACUGGCACAUUGAAUGUUUCCUCUCCAAGCACUUUAAAUCCUGUCCUGUACUGAAGUCAAGCCUCUUCAGUGCACCUCAACUCAUGCCUCAUACCUCACUGCUGUGAUCCCUUCUCAUUCCCAUUCCCCAUAAUAUUGUACAAUACAUGUCUUUAGUAAAUGAUUUAGGUGAAAAUAAUUUAUCUUUGAUUAUUUUUUAAAUACACUUAGACGUCUCCUUGCGCCUAU
This is a long non-coding RNA of Oncorhynchus mykiss (rainbow trout), 490 nucleotides long. RefSeq lists it as uncharacterized. NCBI's taxonomy places the organism in Eukaryota, Metazoa, Chordata, Actinopteri, Salmoniformes, Salmonidae. The record is from RefSeq and is a predicted model, not a curated record.